Dromiciops gliroides (monito del monte) is the source of this 643-nucleotide long non-coding RNA. RefSeq lists it as uncharacterized. NCBI's taxonomy places the organism in Eukaryota, Metazoa, Chordata, Mammalia, Microbiotheria, Microbiotheriidae. The transcript is spliced from 3 exons. The record is from RefSeq and is a predicted model, not a curated record.
CUUUCCCUCAACCCUCCUUUUAAAACCUUUACAACGUAAUUUCAACUUCUGUCUUCGAAAGAGCAUAUAACCUUUGGUGCUCAUUUUUGCAAGUAGCUUCUACGUUCUUCCUGCAUAUAUAUUUCAAAUGAUAAAAAGGAAUGUAAACCCCAGUGAAAAUAAGUUUCUCUGCUAGUAGCUCUCGAGUGAGAGUGCUUUGGGUUGUUUUGAUAUUUUCUUUAAGCCCUCUGUUUUCUAAGUAGCACCACGGUUUAAAAAAAAAAAUCCUGCUUCAUUUCAUCUCACUUCUGUACGACUGUGCUUCAUCCCCGAAUCAUGGAGACUGCCUCGCUUUCCAAACUCUUCGAACAUCAACAUGUGGGGACUGAGGGAUGCUGAAUUUGUUUGAGAUGCUGCCAUCCCGGGGAAAGGUUUAGUGCAAAAAGAAAAUCGGAGUAUUGAAAUAUAAAAAGAUCUAAAGUCUAAUAGUGAUUUCUUUGAGAGGAUAUAUUAUCUCCCAAGUACAAAACAUAACACUCUUUCUUUUCAAUUUUAAGGUGAAGAAACUGAAUUCCAGAGAGAUUAAAUCAUUUACAGAGCCUUGCAGAGGUACCUUGAAUUUGAACCAAUGUCUUCUUAUGCCAGAGGAAGCAUCUUUUACCUU